RNAcentral lists this ribosomal RNA (440 nucleotides) under uncultured bacterium. RNAcentral's name for it is "partial 16S ribosomal RNA". It matches the Rfam family "Bacterial small subunit ribosomal RNA", at positions 339 to 795 of the family's 1533-position model. The record is from RNAcentral.
CUACGGGGCGCUGCAGUGGGGAAUAUUGGACAAUGGGCGAAAGCCUGAUCCAGCAAUGCCGCGUGAGUGAUGAAGGCCUUAGGGUUGUAAAGCUCUUUUACCCGGGAUGAUAAUGACAGUACCGGGAGAAUAAGCUCCGGCUAACUCCGUGCCAGGCAGCCGCGGUAAUACGGAGGGAGCUAGCGUUGUUCGGAAUUACUGGGCGUAAAGCGCACGUAGGCGGCUUUGUAAGUUAGAGGUGAAAGCCUGGAGCUCAACUCCAGAAUUGCCUUUAAGACUGCAUCGCUCGAAUCCAGGAGAGGGCAGUGGAAUUCCGAGUGUAGAGGUGAAAUUCGUAGAGAUUCGGAAGAACACCAGUGGCGAAGGCGGCUGACUGGACUGGUAUUGACGCUGAGGUGCGAAAGCGUGGGGAGCAAACAGGAUUAGAUACCCGCGUAGUC